UACGGGGGGGGCAAGCGUUGUUCGGAAUUACUGGGCGUAAAGGGCCAGUAGGCGGCCAACUAAGUCGGAUGUGAAAUCCCCAGGCUUAACCUGGGAACUGCAUCCGAUACUGGAUGGCUUGAAUUCGGGAGAGGGAUGCAGAAUUCCAGGUGUAGCGGUGAAAUGCGUAGAUAUCUGGAGGAAUACCGGUGGCGAAGGCGGCAUCCUGGACCGAGAUUGACACUGAUGAGCGAAAGCUAGGGGAGCAAACGGG
This 253-nucleotide ribosomal RNA is filed under the name uncultured bacterium. Its description in RNAcentral is "partial 16S ribosomal RNA". It matches the Rfam family "Bacterial small subunit ribosomal RNA", at positions 524 to 776 of the family's 1533-position model. The record is from RNAcentral.